GGCUGUCAAUGCUUAACUCUCUGCCCGUAAACCUGUAGGGCACUGGGGUGAAGCCACAUUUACUGAUAUGAAGUAUGUUACCAGAAGACCAGACGCUGUUAAUGGGCCCACACGGCCACGAACACACCAGCCGGUGGGGAAUUUUAUAGCAUCCAUCAUGGGAUACCGGGGUCCUUAUUAAAGAAGAAAGCUUUUAUGGCAUUUUCCAGAGCACCAUAUUUUCCUGACCCAGCCUGCAAGGAAAGUGCUAAGAGCCCCAAACUAUCUUUUCAACCAUUAACUGCCAUUUCUGGACUGGGGACCGGC
Molecule: long non-coding RNA, 306 nt
Filed under: Fukomys damarensis (Damara mole-rat)
Lineage: Eukaryota; Metazoa; Chordata; Mammalia; Rodentia; Bathyergidae
Description: lncRNA (ENSFDAG00000025412.1)
Source: RNAcentral